GACGAACCGAGCGAACGUUAUUCGGAAUCACUGGGCUUAAAGGGUGCGUAGGCGGGCUGUCAAGUCUGGGGUGAAAUCCCGCGGCUCAACCGCGGAACUGCCUCAGAUACUGAUGGCCUCGAGGAAGGUAGGGGCAUGCGGAACUGUAGGUGGAGCGGUGAAAUGCGUUGAUAUCUACAGGAACUCCGGUGGCGAAAGCGGCGUGCUGGACCUUUUCUGACGCUGAGGCACGAAAGCUAGGGGAGCAAACGGG
Molecule: ribosomal RNA, 253 nt
Filed under: uncultured bacterium
Lineage: Bacteria
Description: partial 16S ribosomal RNA
Rfam family: Bacterial small subunit ribosomal RNA
Source: RNAcentral